AUGAACGCUAGCGGGAGGCUUAAUACAUGGCAAGUCGAGCGGGAUUCUCCUUCGGGAGAUGAGAGCGGCGCACGGGUGAGUAACGCGUACGUAACCUGCCUUACAGAGGGAAUAGCCCUGGGAAACUGGGAUUAAUACUCCAUAGUAUAUAGAUGGCGCAUGCUGUUAUAUUAAAGUUGAGGCGCUGUAAGAUGGGCGUGCGUGCUAUUAGCUAGUUGGUGAGGUAACGGCUCACCAAGGCUACGAUAGCUAGGGGGCGUGAGAGCGUGGCCCCCCACACGGGUACUGAGACACGGACCCGACUCCUACGGGAGGCAGCAGUAAGGAAUAUUGGACAAUGGUCGAAAGACUGAUCCAGCCAUCCCGCGUGCAGGAUGACUGCCCUAUGGGUUGUAAACUGCUUUUAUAUGGGAAGAAUAGCAUAGAUUCAUCUGUGUAUGACGGUACCAUAUGAAUAAGCACCGGCUAACUCCGUG
This 476-nucleotide ribosomal RNA is filed under the name uncultured bacterium. Its description in RNAcentral is "bacterial SSU rRNA". It matches the Rfam family "Bacterial small subunit ribosomal RNA", at positions 29 to 507 of the family's 1533-position model. The record is from RNAcentral.